CAAAAAAGUUUGGGUAGAGCCGGAUCUAAGUGUUGGCUAGGUAAACGCCCCGUAGUAAGAGGGGUAGUUAUGAACCCUGUGGACCACCCCCAUGGGGGCGGUGAAGGGAAAGCUCCCAUCCAUAUACCGUUGAAUCCUUGGGGUUCCAGAAUCUGCCUAUUUUACUAG
Molecule: ribosomal RNA, 168 nt
Filed under: Triticum aestivum (bread wheat)
Lineage: Eukaryota; Viridiplantae; Streptophyta; Magnoliopsida; Poales; Poaceae
Description: partial small subunit ribosomal RNA
Source: RNAcentral